GGCGAGUGAAAAAUACCACACUUCCUUCUUUAACUCAUUUGCUUUUCAACUAUCACUUCAUAAUUCAUUUACCAGUACUUAUCUCUAUUGUUUCACCUCUUUCGAAUUUUAAAAGCAAUUACGACUCACGGUGAUGCUAGACUCGGGUGCAUAGGUAACCAUCACCAUACCUGUAUACCGACUCCACACAGCACAUAGCAAAUAUUG
RNAcentral lists this long non-coding RNA (207 nucleotides) under Nicotiana benthamiana. RNAcentral describes it as "long non-coding RNA (NBEN_LNC005195)". The record is from RNAcentral. Lineage: Eukaryota; Viridiplantae; Streptophyta; Magnoliopsida; Solanales; Solanaceae.